Molecule: unclassified non-coding RNA, 21 nt
Filed under: Chlamydomonas reinhardtii
Lineage: Eukaryota; Viridiplantae; Chlorophyta; Chlorophyceae; Chlamydomonadales; Chlamydomonadaceae
Description: small RNA Cre_3178
Source: RNAcentral
UGCUGCACGAGGGGCUGCGGG